This 497-nucleotide ribosomal RNA is filed under the name uncultured bacterium. RNAcentral's name for it is "partial 16S ribosomal RNA". It matches the Rfam family "Bacterial small subunit ribosomal RNA", at positions 28 to 507 of the family's 1533-position model. The record is from RNAcentral.
GAUGAACGCUGGCGGCGUGCCUAACACAUGCAAGUCGAGCGAACGGACGAGAAGUUUGUGUCGUUCAUGUUAGCGGCGGACGGGUGUGUAACGCGUGGAUAACCUACCUAUCUUUCGGGGAUAAUUUCGGGAAUCCGUAUCUAAUACCGGAUAAUAUCUUGAACCGUAGUGUUCAAAAGUGAAAGUCGGUCUUGGUGUAUGUAAUAGCGGGAUCUGGGCUGGAUGGGCUGGUUGUUAAGGUAACAGCUUUCCAAGGCUACGAUGCAUGGCCGACUUGAGAGAGUGAUCGGCCACACUGGAACUGAGACACGGUCCUGACGCCUGCGAGAAGCAGCAGUAGGGAAUCUUACGCAAUGGGCGCAAGCAUGACACAGCAAGGCCGCGUGAGUGAUGGAGGUCUUCGGUUCGUAAAGCCCGGUUAUUGGGGAAGAACAUAUGUGGAAGUAAAUGAGCAGAUAUUGACGGUACCUAAUAAGAAAGCAACGGCUAACUACGUG